This 232-nucleotide long non-coding RNA is filed under the name Bos taurus (domestic cattle). RNAcentral describes it as "long non-coding RNA NONBTAT024327". Lineage: Eukaryota; Metazoa; Chordata; Mammalia; Artiodactyla; Bovidae. The record is from RNAcentral.
CUGGAUUAGCCUCAUCAGAGAUGAUGAUGGGGGAUAUAAAUGUGCACAGAAUAUUAUUACCAAUAAUUAUAUAGGGAAUAUUUAGGCCAGUGUUCAAUCCAUGAUGCUCACAGUCUAGGUUAUAACAAAAUGAAUCUCAAAUGGUCUAAAGAUACCUGCUUUUGAAGUAAUAGUGCCAUAGGGGUCUUGGGUAACAUUAAUUAAUAUUUAGCAUAACUCCAGGAGGGUUUUU